UUGCCUCUUCUAUGCAGAUGGGAGAAACAAUUAAUGGAAGGUUAUGCUAUGGAUUUAGGAUUUGUUUUCAUUCGUGGUGUUUGUUCUGCAGAAUUGGUGAAUUUGGAUAUUUUUCUUUCUUCGUAUUUUUUUCUCUUUUCAUGGAUGAGUACGAUUUUAGUCUUUGAAAGAUGGCAGUAGACUGAUUUUGGUGGAAGGACGAUGCAAUUGUGUGGUGAUUUGUUUGUUGCGUAAACACUUGAGUUAUCAGUAAUUGUGUAAAUAUUAAUUGCAGUUUUUUCUCUGAGGGUAUGUUAGCCAACCAAAAAGCUAAAGCAUCUCAAGCUACCUGACUGGCAAUUCAAUUCAGUGAUGUUAUAUUGCAUUACACAAUAUUCAUAGUUUCUUAGUUUAUCAGUAAAUCUAAUGCAUAUUUUAGUGCUUUGAUUAAGAAUAUUCUUUAGCUAAACUUUAGAGAGGAUAGAUUUUGACCAACUUUAUCUCUCAAAAGUAUCAAUCAUGUGUGGAAGAGGUUUGUGGUUAUGAAAGCUCAAAUUCAGAUGAAGUGCAUCAAGUUACUGCUAUGGUUGAUUUCAGUUUUGAAAUUGAUUCUUGUCAGGCUUAUUCUUACUCUCAUGUUGCUCUGAUUUUGCAAAUGAUUUCCAUUCAGAUGUUUCUAUUAGGUUUGCCCCUCUUGACAUCAAGAUUGGUACAAUGAUCAAGGAAAACAAAAAGGACACUUGAAAUCAUCCAAAGCUAAUAGCCAUCCAGGUAAUUUUCUAGCUUACAUUCAAGUUUAAGAAGAAUCUAGGGCUGGUUGAAGCAUUGGAGUAGGUGUU
This 818-nucleotide long non-coding RNA is filed under the name Oryza brachyantha (malo sina). RNAcentral's name for it is "long non-coding RNA (OBRA_LNC000427)". Lineage: Eukaryota; Viridiplantae; Streptophyta; Magnoliopsida; Poales; Poaceae. The record is from RNAcentral.